This 938-nucleotide long non-coding RNA is filed under the name Nicotiana tabacum (common tobacco). RNAcentral describes it as "long non-coding RNA (NTAB_LNC013676)". Lineage: Eukaryota; Viridiplantae; Streptophyta; Magnoliopsida; Solanales; Solanaceae. The record is from RNAcentral.
GGAGGUGUUGUUCCAACUCCAGUAGACACCAGACUUUGAAAGGCUUGGAUCACGUACGACCUGAAUUUAGCACGGAUGUUUCAGUGGUAUUCUUCAUGAACUAGUUUAUGAUUCAGUCUGUGAAAAUGCAAGGGAUAAAGGUGUCCAAGUUUGCUAAUUUUGACUAACCUGUGCAAGUCUUUUUCCUGCUUCUGCUUCAGAUACAUAGCCUUUGGUAAUGUACUUCUGAAAUGGUGGGAAGAGAGCCCUGAACAAGGGAAUGUGAUUCCUAAACAAACCAGUUUCAGCAAUGCAGCCGGGAUAGAGGGACGCAAAGGCAAUGCCAGUCUCCUCGUGGAAACGCCUAUGAAACUCUUGCAUGGUAAGCAUGUUACAGACUUUGCUGUCUUUGUAGGCUUUGGCGCCGUCAAAUUCUCCUCCAUCAAUCAUGGGUGAGCAGUUUAAACUAUUCAACCCUCCUGAUAGUCCUCGUAGAUCUCCAAGAUUAGCCUUUGGCGGUACGUUUCCAGCCAAAGUGUUUGUGUUUCCUGAUUCAGAAAAAUUAAGUCUUAGAAUCAUUUUGGGUUUCCUUUAAUAUGGAAAUUCCUUUAAUAUGAAAAUUCAGAAGCCCAAAGAGCAAAAAAGUGUUUGUCACUAUCUUAUUUCUGUAGGGCAUCUAUGAAAUCUAUCAUGCUUCCAUCAUAUGCUGUCCAGCAUUUUAGUGAUGUAUCAUGAAAUAUGUGUAGUUUCUCGAUUCUCUGUCUUGUGUAUAUCUAAGUAUGUUAAUGCUUAAUUACUUGUAAAAAAGAAUAUCUAGAUAUGCUAAUUGUGGAGUUCUAGCUUUGCAGCAUUGAUAAUUUGUUCCUAGCUUACUGGUAGUGACCUGAAAUUAAGUUGCUCAAUGAAGUCGAGUAUGCUGGACAUCAGAGCAUAAGCUACCAGUUUGAGACCAGUACCUG